UUCCGGUUGAUCCUGCCGGACCCGACUGCUAUUUGGGUGAGGAUAAGCCAUGCGAGUUGAAUGGGAUACCUAAAUUUCCCAUGGCAAACUGCUCAGUAACACAUGAUCAACUUACCCUAUAGAGAAAAAUAACCUCGGGAAACUGAGGAUAAUAUUUCAUAGUUGAAUAGGCUUGGAAAAGUUUUUCAAUAAAAGGGAUAAAAAAAAUGGUUUUUAUCUGCUAUAGGAUAGGAUCGUGGACGAUUAUGGUUGUUGGUGAGGUAACGGCUCACCAAGCCGAUAAUCGAUAGGGGCCGUGAGAGCGGGAGCCCCGAGAUGGGUACUGAGACAACGACCCAGGCCUUACGAGGCGCAGCAGGCGCGGAACCUCCGCAAUACACGAAAGUGUGACGGGGUUACCCAAAGUGUUCAAUUCUGAACUGUGGUAGGUGAGUAAUGUUCCCUACUAGAAAGGAGAGGGCAAGGCUGGUGCCAGCCGCCGCGGUAAAACCAGCUCUUCAAGUGGUCGGGAUAAUUAUUGGGCUUAAAGUGUCCGUAGCCGGUUUAGUAAGUUCCUGGUAAAAUCGGGUAGCUUAACUAUCCGUAUGCUAGGAAUACUGCUAUACUAGAGGGCGGGAGAGGUCUGAGGUACUACAGGGGUAGGGGUGAAAUCUUAUAAUCCUUGUAGGACCACCAGUGGCGAAGGCGUCAGACUGGAACGCGCCUGACGGUGAGGGACGAAAGCCAGGGGAGCGAACCGGAUUAGAUACCCGGGUAGUCCUGGCCGUAAACGAUGCAUACUAGGUGAUGGUACGGCCAUGAGCCAUAUCAGUGCCGUAGGGAAACCGUUAAGUGUGCCGCCUGGGAAGUACGGUCGCAAGGCUAAAACUUAAAGGAAUUGGCGGGGGAGCACCACAAGGGGUGAAGCCUGCGGUUCAAUUGGAUUCAACGCCGGG
Molecule: ribosomal RNA, 935 nt
Filed under: uncultured archaeon
Lineage: Archaea
Description: bacterial SSU rRNA
Rfam family: Archaeal small subunit ribosomal RNA
Source: RNAcentral